RNAcentral lists this ribosomal RNA (253 nucleotides) under uncultured bacterium. RNAcentral's name for it is "partial 16S ribosomal RNA". It matches the Rfam family "Bacterial small subunit ribosomal RNA", at positions 524 to 776 of the family's 1533-position model. The record is from RNAcentral.
UACGUAGGGGGCUAGCGUUGUCCGGAAUCAUUGGGCGUAAAGAGCUCGUAGGCGGUUCGUCGCGUCGGCUGUGAAAUCCCGAGGCUCAACCUCGGGUCUGCAGUCGAUACGGGCGGACUGGAGUUCGGCAGGGGAGACUGGAAUUCCUGGUGUAGCGGUGAAAUGCGCAGAUAUCAGGAGGAACACCGGUGGCGAAGGCGGGUCUCUGGGCCGAUACUGACGCUGAGGAGCGAAAGCGUGGGGAGCGAACAGG